RNAcentral lists this unclassified non-coding RNA (225 nucleotides) under uncultured Rozellomycota. RNAcentral's name for it is "uncultured Cryptomycota sequence contains ITS2". The record is from RNAcentral. Lineage: Eukaryota; Fungi; Rozellomycota.
AACUCUCUUUCUACUACUCGUGGGUAGUAGAAGACUUGUCGGUUGUGCAGCAGUGCACUCUGAUUAAAAGGAGCAAGUCUGGAUCAGGCUGGUGGCCUGGGACACUGUGUGCUAGAGACGUCGCUUCGGCUGACUGUCUUCUCACAGUGCGUCCUUGGCUACUCAAGCUGGUCUGCUUCGGGCUUUUCAGUGGUUGUACCCUGCGUAUUACUACAAUCCCCCCCU